GCGGGUGUAGUUCAAUGGUAUAACACCAGCCUUCCAAGCUGGAUACGUGGGUUCGAUUCCCAUCACCCGCU
Molecule: transfer RNA, 71 nt
Filed under: Blautia luti
Lineage: Bacteria; Bacillati; Bacillota; Clostridia; Lachnospirales; Lachnospiraceae
Rfam family: tRNA
About the family: Transfer RNA (tRNA) molecules are approximately 80 nucleotides in length.
Source: Rfam by way of RNAcentral